This 528-nucleotide unclassified non-coding RNA is filed under the name Hevea brasiliensis (rubber tree). The record is from RNAcentral. Lineage: Eukaryota; Viridiplantae; Streptophyta; Magnoliopsida; Malpighiales; Euphorbiaceae.
UGGUGGGCAACUACAACCUAUCUACACAUUACCAACAUAUGCUGAGAACCAACCAAAAGUUUUUCAAGGAGCAUCACAGAUCCAAGGUGGCCUAUCCCAAGUUAAACCUUCAUCAUCUGCCUCAGGUAAUUCAGCUCCUGUCCGUCCACCUCGUAUGGCUUGGUGCGAACUCUGUAGGAUUGAAUGCAACACACCUGAAGUUCUUGAACAGCAUAAGAAUGGAAAGAAACAUAAAAAGAACCUGAAAGCCUAUGAAGAGCGACAGAAACUGAACAAACAGAUGGAUGGAGCACAUGGUAACCAGACAAUAAAUUCUGAAGUUAAGCCAAGGAUUUCUUACCAGCCUGCAGUUGAGGGAUCUGGGCAGCUGCCGCUGGGGCAUUUGCCUUCUGAAACUGUAACUGGAGACAGACAGCCUCUGCCCCAAGAGAAGCUUCCUCCUCAAUCUGUUAUAGAGGAAGAUGUCGGUAUUACCGGAAAACAAAAGGUUGAAGAGACAGAUCCUUUGGAUCAUAUUCAAGGUCAAAG